This 79-nucleotide small RNA is filed under the name Marinomonas profundimaris. Its description in RNAcentral is "isrK". The record is from RNAcentral. Lineage: Bacteria; Pseudomonadati; Pseudomonadota; Gammaproteobacteria; Oceanospirillales; Oceanospirillaceae.
GUGUUGGCAAAAUCCAACACUGGGGUGUGGAAGCUCCAAUCUAUCAGGACGCACAAUACCGCCGCGUCGCGGUUUUUUU